GACCCCAACCUAAAAAUAUUAAUUACUAAGCAAGUAUUGUCCCUUAAAAACAAAAAAAAUUUCUCAUUUGCAUUCUCUUGAAGGAAAAAAACAAACUUAAUUGGACAAGUAUCUGAGGUUAUUUCGACAUACACCAAAAUUCAGAGAAGAAGUAAGCUUUUACUAGGAUUAGUAUAUGAGGCUUGGUUGAGCGGACACCACACAAAAUUGAUAGCAGUAAAAAAAAAAAAAAUUAUUAUUAUUAUAUUGCUUACAACCUUUUGAAAAAAAGAAAAAAAAAAAUCUAUACCUUUGUAGUUCGCACUCACCCUCCUCCCUCGCUCCCUCCCUUGUAUCCCACUCCACUAGAAUAUGUAACAGGAUAUACAAGAAACCUCUUCAGGCUCCAGCCGCCGGCCACCAUAUUAUUACCGACUUUUGUUGUAGUGGUCAUGUUAGCAAAACUGUAGCGAGCGACUCUGCCACUUUUGAUUGGUUGCUUCUCGAGCAAGACCACUACUGACGCUAAAGAUGAUAGAUCUAACUUACAUGCACCACUACCACGCCAGUCAAUAGAUCCGAUUGUAUCUAGCUAAUCUUCCGAUAAGGAGAAUAGAAGUCAUGCACCUGCACCACUCUCUCACCAGUCACCGUUUCUAGAUCCGAUUGAAUCUAGCUUAUCUUCUGAUGAGGAGAAUCAAAUUGAUGCACCUGCACAGCUAUCUCACCAGUCACCGGUCGUAGAUCUAAUUGAAUCUAGCUCAUCUUCUGAUGAGGAGGAGAAUCAAAGUCAUGCACCAGCCUCUGAGAAUACUGAAAGACAGAAGAUGAAGGAAUAUGGCUUUAAAGAACUAGCAGAGGCAACUGAUUAUUUCUCCAACAACUGCCUACUUGGUGAGGGUGGUUUUGGUCAAGUCUUCAAGGCAACCUUAGAUGGUGAAGAUGUUGCUAUCAAGAAACUUAAAAAAAUAAAGUUGGAAGAUAAAUUGGAGGAGGGUGAGUACCUUAGCUGUGUGAAUCACCCAAAUAUUGUUAAGAUGAUUGGGCACUGCACUUAAGGAGCCGAUAGAUUACUUGUUUUAGAGUUUGUCCCCAAUAAUACCUUGACAGAUCAUUUACAUGGUGAGUUCUUUUUUCCUAACA
This is a long non-coding RNA of Hevea brasiliensis (rubber tree), 1122 nucleotides long. RefSeq lists it as uncharacterized. NCBI's taxonomy places the organism in Eukaryota, Viridiplantae, Streptophyta, Magnoliopsida, Malpighiales, Euphorbiaceae. The record is from RefSeq and is a predicted model, not a curated record. The transcript is spliced from 2 exons.